AGCCCCCCCACACUUCUACUGUCCUGAAACACGGCUCUAGCCAAUCUGCUCCGCUGCUUUACCUGCGACCGUCUCUGUGGGGGCUGCACCGCACCAGCCCCUCCAGCCCGCCAGGGCAUCGUCCUCCAACCGGUCAUGCCCAGCUGUGACCCUGGCCCGGCCCCUGCAUGUUUACCCACCAAGACUUUCCGCAGCUACCUGCCCCGCUGCCACCGCACAUACAGUUGCGUCCACUGUCGAGCACACUUGGCCAAACAUGAUGAGCUUAUUUCCAAGUCUUUCCAAGGAAGCCAUGGCCGGGCCUACCUGUUUAACUCCGUGUGAGUCCACCUCUUUCUUUGUGUGUGUGUGUGUGUGUGUGUGUGUGUGUGUGUGUGUGUGUGUGUGUGUACACUUUUAUUUCAACAGCUUUCCUCUUUGCAAAAUGGGGGUGAGCCUUCAAAAGGACCAGGCACUCCUGGUUCCUCUAUAAAGUGGUUAAGGAAAGCAGUUUAGUUUUGUGGGGUGAAAGAAGGCUCAAGCACUAAUUCUAAAGGGGUGGACUGCUGAAGGAAGGUUCCUCAGGUAGAGAUCCUUUUGGGU
This 582-nucleotide long non-coding RNA is filed under the name Rattus norvegicus (Norway rat). Its description in RNAcentral is "long non-coding RNA NONRATT018322". The record is from RNAcentral. Lineage: Eukaryota; Metazoa; Chordata; Mammalia; Rodentia; Muridae.